GACGAACGCUGGCGGCGUGCCUAAUACAUGCAAGUCGAACGCUGAAGGAGGAGCUUGCUUCUCUGGAUGAGUUGCGAACGGGUGAGUAACGCGUAGGUAACCUGCCUGGUAGCGGGGGAUAACUAUUGGAAACGAUAGCUAAUACCGCAUAAGAGUAGAUGUCGCAUGACAUUUGCUUAAAAGGUGCAAUUGCAUCACUACCAGAUGGACCUGCGUUGUAUUAGCUAGUUGGUGAGGUAACGGCUCACCAAGGCAACGAUACAUAGCCGACCUGAGAGGGGGAUCGGCCACACUGGGACUGAGACACGGCCCAGACUCCUACGGGAGGCAGCAGGAGGGAAUCUUGGGCAAUGGACGGAAGUCUGACCGAGCAACGCCGCGUGAGGGAAGAAGGGUGUCGGGUCGGAAAGCUCUGUUGUAAGGGAAGGAAGAGUGUGAGAGUGGAAAGUUCACACUGUGACGGUAUCUGACCAGAAAGGGACGGCUAACUACGUG
This 495-nucleotide ribosomal RNA is filed under the name uncultured bacterium. RNAcentral's name for it is "partial 16S ribosomal RNA". It matches the Rfam family "Bacterial small subunit ribosomal RNA", at positions 28 to 507 of the family's 1533-position model. The record is from RNAcentral.